UUAUUAAUAUGUUUUUUGCUCCACGCGAGAAACAUGCAUACGUGCGCGGAAUAUAUUGAGCGCGGUUCCUUAUUCUCGACGUUUUCGGCAAGUUUUAGCUUGCGGGUCGUUAUCCACGCGUGUAGGGCGUCCUUGCGUUGGAAAAGCGGUCGGGUACCGAAAGGGGUCGAGACCGCGGUAAACCUCUAGUUGGUGCGGUAGAGAGGGAGGGGUGGAGACCGUGGUAAACACGACACGUGUACGUUGUUGAGCGGGAGAGUAAGUGGUACGGUGCAGUAUUCGUUAUUAGGAAGCGUUGUCAAAGAGUGCUCGAUCGUGUUUGUGGUGGAGCCGGGAGGCGGGAGCAUAAUGGACGAAGGCGGGGGAAACAUGUCGCAUGCGAUCAUACCAGCACUAAAGCACCGGAUCCCAUCAGAACUCCAAAGUUAAGCGUGCUUGGGCGAGAGUAGUGCUUGGGCGAGAGUAGUACUAGGAUGGGUGACCUCCUGGGAAGUCCUCGUGUUGCAUUCCC
Molecule: ribosomal RNA, 511 nt
Filed under: Hordeum intercedens
Lineage: Eukaryota; Viridiplantae; Streptophyta; Magnoliopsida; Poales; Poaceae
Source: RNAcentral